RNAcentral lists this ribosomal RNA (600 nucleotides) under uncultured bacterium. RNAcentral's name for it is "bacterial SSU rRNA". It matches the Rfam family "Bacterial small subunit ribosomal RNA", at positions 900 to 1509 of the family's 1533-position model. The record is from RNAcentral.
CUCAAAUGAAUUGACGGGGGCCCGCACAAGCGGAGGAACAUGUGGUUUAAUUCGAUGAUACGCGAGGAACCUUACCCGGGCUUGAAAUGUACCUGACCGUCCUUGAAAGGGGACUUCUAGCAAUAGCAGGUAUGUAGGUGCUGCAUGGUUGUCGUCAGCUCGUGCCGUGAGGUGUCGGCCUAAGUGCCAUAACGAGCGCAACCCACAUUAUUAGUUACUAACAGGUUAAGCUGAGGACUCUAAUAAGACUGCCGUCGUAAGAUGCGAGGAAGGUGUGGAUGACGUCAAAUCAGCACGGCCCUUACGUCCGGGGCGACACACGUGUUACAAUGGGAGGUACAAAGGGCUGCUACCUGGUGACAGGAUGCUAAUCCCCAAAGCCUCUCCCAGUUCGGAUCGGAGUCUGCAACUCGACCCCGUGAAGCUGGAUUCGCUAGUAAUCGCGCAUCAGCCAUGGCGCGGUGAAUACGUUCCCGGGCCUUGUACACACCGCCCGUCAAGCCAUGGGAGCCGGGGGUAUCUGAAGUGCGUAACCGCAAGGAGCGUCCUAGGGUAAAACUGGUGACUGGGGCUAAGUCGUAACAAGGUAGCCGUACCGGA